GCUUUUCUUUUUUUUUUUUUUUUUUUUUUUUUUUUUUUUGCUUUUUUUCUGUUGUGGGUUUUUUUUUUUUUUUUUUUUUUUUUUUUUUUUUUUUUUUUUUUUUUUUUUUUUU
Long non-coding RNA from Tympanuchus pallidicinctus (lesser prairie-chicken), 112 nucleotides. RefSeq lists it as uncharacterized. The record is from RefSeq and is a predicted model, not a curated record. The transcript is spliced from 2 exons. NCBI's taxonomy places the organism in Eukaryota, Metazoa, Chordata, Aves, Galliformes, Phasianidae.